GGUGAACGCUGGCGGUAGGCCUAACACAUGCAAGUCGAACGCCAGCUCAGUAAGCGUUUGCUCUGAGGGGUGGCGACUGGCGGGCGGGUGAGGCAUACAUCGGAAUCUACUUUUUCGUGGGGGAUAACGUCGGGCAACUUCCGCUAAUAACGCAUACGACCCACGGGUGAAAGCAGUGGAGCUUCGGACCUUGCGCGAUUGGAUGAGCCGAUGUCGGAUCAGCUAGUUGGCGGGGUAAAGGCCCACCAAGGCGACGAUCCGUAGCUGGUCUGAGAGGAUGAUCAGCCACACUAGAACUGAGACACCGUCCAGACUCCGACGAGAGGCAGCAGUGUGGUAUAUUGGACAAUGGGCGCAAUCCUGAUCCAGCCAUACCGCGUGUGUGAAGGAGGCGUUGGGUUUGGUAAGCCGUUUUGUUGGGAGAGAAAAGCAGCAAGUUCAUACGCCGCUGUUCUGACGGUACCCAAAGAAUAAGCACCGGCUAACUACGUG
RNAcentral lists this ribosomal RNA (492 nucleotides) under uncultured bacterium. RNAcentral describes it as "partial 16S ribosomal RNA". It matches the Rfam family "Bacterial small subunit ribosomal RNA", at positions 28 to 507 of the family's 1533-position model. The record is from RNAcentral.